This 980-nucleotide ribosomal RNA is filed under the name Salmonella enterica subsp. enterica serovar Virchow. RNAcentral describes it as "partial 23S ribosomal RNA". It matches the Rfam family "Bacterial large subunit ribosomal RNA", at positions 711 to 1689 of the family's 2925-position model. The record is from RNAcentral. Lineage: Bacteria; Pseudomonadati; Pseudomonadota; Gammaproteobacteria; Enterobacterales; Enterobacteriaceae.
AGACCCGAAACCCGGUGAUCUAGCCAUGGGCAGGUUGAAGGUUGGGUAACACUAACUGGAGGACCGAACCGACUAAUGUUGAAAAAUUAGCGGAUGACCUGUGGCUGGGGGUGAAAGGCCAAUCAAACCGGGAGAUAGCUGGUUCUCCCCGAAAGCUAUUUAGGUAGCGCCUCGUGAAUUCAUCUCCGGGGGUAGAGCACUGUUUCGGCUAGGGGGCCAUCCCGGCUUACCAACCCGAUGCAAACUGCGAAUACCGGAGAAUGUUAUCACGGGAGACACACGGCGGGUGCUAACGUCCGUCGUGAAGAGGGAAACAACCCAGACCGCCAGCUAAGGUCCCAAAGUCAUGGUUAAGUGGGAAACGAUGUGGGAAGGCCCAGACAGCCAGGAUGUUGGCUUAGAAGCAGCCAUCAUUUAAAGAAAGCGUAAUAGCUCACUGGUCGAGUCGGCCUGCGCGGAAGAUGUAACGGGGCUAAACCAUGCACCGAAGCUGCGGCAGCGACACUGUGUGUUGUUGGGUAGGGGAGCGUUCUGUAAGCCUGUGAAGGUGGCCUGUGAGGGUUGCUGGAGGUAUCAGAAGUGCGAAUGCUGACAUAAGUAACGAUAAAGCGGGUGAAAAGCCCGCUCGCCGGAAGACCAAGGGUUCCUGUCCAACGUUAAUCGGGGCAGGGUGAGUCGACCCCUAAGGCGAGGCCGAAAGGCGUAGUCGAUGGGAAACGGGUUAAUAUUCCCGUACUUGGUGUUACUGCGAAGGGGGGACGGAGAAGGCUAUGUUGGCCGGGCGACGGUUGUCCCGGUUUAAGCGUGUAGGUGUGUGUUCCAGGUAAAUCCGGUUCACUUUAACACUGAGGCGUGACGACGAGGCACUACGGUGCUGAAGCAACAAAUGCCCUGCUUCCAGGAAAAGCCUCUAAGCAUCAGGUAACAUCAAAUCGUACCCCAAACCGACACAGGUGGUCAGGUAGAGAAUACCAAGGCGC